UCGCGUGUCUCAGAGUUUGAUCCUGGCUCAGGAUGAACGCUAGCGAUAGGCUUAACACAUGCAAGUCGAGGGGUAACAUGGGAGUAGCUUGCUACUUCUGAUGACGACCGGCGGAUGGGUGAGUAACGCGUAUGCAACUUGCCUCUUAGUGGGGAAUAACCCGGAGAAAUCCGGACUAAUACCGCAUACACUUAGUUAUCCGCAUGGAUGAUUAAGGAAAGAUUUAUUGCUAAGAGAUAGGCAUGCGUUCCAUUAGUUAGUUGGUGACGGUAACCGGCUCACCCAAGGCAUCGAUGGAUAGGGGAGCUGUAGAGGCCUUAGUCCCCCACAGUUGGGGACUGAGACACGGCCCAA
RNAcentral lists this ribosomal RNA (354 nucleotides) under uncultured bacterium. Its description in RNAcentral is "bacterial SSU rRNA". It matches the Rfam family "Bacterial small subunit ribosomal RNA", at positions 1 to 334 of the family's 1533-position model. The record is from RNAcentral.